Molecule: ribosomal RNA, 683 nt
Filed under: Stenotrophomonas geniculata
Lineage: Bacteria; Pseudomonadati; Pseudomonadota; Gammaproteobacteria; Lysobacterales; Lysobacteraceae
Description: bacterial SSU rRNA
Rfam family: Bacterial small subunit ribosomal RNA
Source: RNAcentral
UCCUGGCUCAGAGUGAACGCUGGCGGUAGGCCUAACACAUGCAAGUCGAACGGCAGCACAGAGGAGCUUGCUCCUUGGGUGGCGAGUGGCGGACGGGUGAGGAAUACAUCGGAAUCUACUUUUUCGUGGGGGAUAACGUAGGGAAACUUACGCUAAUACCGCAUACGACCUACGGGUGAAAGCAGGGGACCUUCGGGCCUUGCGCGAUUGAAUGAGCCGAUGUCGGAUUAGCUAGUUGGCGGGGUAAAGGCCCACCAAGGCGACGAUCCGUAGCUGGUCUGAGAGGAUGAUCAGCCACACUGGAACUGAGACACGGUCCAGACUCCUACGGGAGGCAGCAGUGGGGAAUAUUGGACAAUGGGCGCAAGCCUGAUCCAGCCAUACCGCGUGGGUGAAGAAGGCCUUCGGGUUGUAAAGCCCUUUUGUUGGGAAAGAAAUCCAGCCGGCUAAUACCUGGUUGGGAUGACGGUACCCAAAGAAUAAGCACCGGCUAACUUCGUGCCAGCAGCCGCGGUAAUACGAAGGGUGCAAGCGUUACUCGGAAUUACUGGGCGUAAAGCGUGCGUAGGUGGUUGUUUAAGUCUGUUGUGAAAGCCCUGGGCUCAACCUGGGAACUGCAGUGGAAACUGGACAACUAGAGUGUGGUAGAGGGUAGCGGAAUUCCCGGUGUAGCAGUGAAAUGC